AGCCUCGUAGCGCAGCUGGUAGAGAGUGCGCGGCGUAAGCGGGGUCCAUGCGUGGGUUCGAAUCCCACCGAGAUUU
Molecule: transfer RNA, 76 nt
Filed under: Echinostoma caproni
Lineage: Eukaryota; Metazoa; Platyhelminthes; Trematoda; Plagiorchiida; Echinostomatidae
Rfam family: tRNA
About the family: Transfer RNA (tRNA) molecules are approximately 80 nucleotides in length. Their secondary structure includes four short double-helical elements and three loops (D, anti-codon, and T loops).
Source: Rfam by way of RNAcentral